This 302-nucleotide long non-coding RNA is filed under the name Elaeis guineensis (African oil palm). RNAcentral describes it as "long non-coding RNA (EGUI_LNC036071)". Lineage: Eukaryota; Viridiplantae; Streptophyta; Magnoliopsida; Arecales; Arecaceae. The record is from RNAcentral.
CCAUUGAAAAAUAAGUAUUGUAGAAAUUACCCCAUCGACUACUUGACAAUCUAUCCUACUAUGGUCCAAAGGCUGGAUGUCUUGGACGCUAGUAGGGACCCAAUGCCCGAGCGUGUAGGGCAUGCCCUGACCCUGUGCUUGCAAUGCUACCUAGCAUCUUCCCUUGGUCCGAGUGCUUUAUAUGCUGAGACCCAAGUCCAAUGCUUCCAAUUAAUUAAUUAAUUAAACAUCUAACUAAUUAAUUAAAUUAAUUUUUAAUUAAUUAAUUUUUAAUACCUAAUGAUACUUAAUUAAUAUAAUUU